AGGGAAAGAGCUUGCUCUUUCCGGAAUUGAGUGGCAAACGGGUGAGUAACACGUAAACAACCUGCCUCAUACAGGGGGAUAACAGUUGGAAACGACUGCUAAUACCGCAUAAGCGCACAGGAUUGCAUGAUCCAGUGUGAAAAACUCCGGUGGUAUGAGAUGGACCCGCGUCUGAUUAGCCAGUUGGCGGGGUAACGGCCCACCAAAGCGACGAUCAGUAGCCGACCUGAGAGGGUGACCGGCCACAUUGGGACUGAGACACGGCCCAAACUCC
This 274-nucleotide ribosomal RNA is filed under the name uncultured Roseburia sp. RNAcentral's name for it is "partial 16S ribosomal RNA". It matches the Rfam family "Bacterial small subunit ribosomal RNA", at positions 69 to 339 of the family's 1533-position model. The record is from RNAcentral. Lineage: Bacteria; Bacillati; Bacillota; Clostridia; Lachnospirales; Lachnospiraceae.